RNAcentral lists this ribosomal RNA (755 nucleotides) under Methanosaeta sp. enrichment culture. RNAcentral's name for it is "bacterial SSU rRNA". It matches the Rfam family "Archaeal small subunit ribosomal RNA", at positions 102 to 856 of the family's 1478-position model. Lineage: Archaea; Methanobacteriati; Methanobacteriota; Methanomicrobia; Methanotrichales; Methanotrichaceae. The record is from RNAcentral.
GGACAACCUGCCCUGAGGACUGGAAUAAUCCCGGGAAACUGGGGGUAAUUCCAGAUAUGUCAGGGAACCUGGAAUGGGUUCUGGCAGAAAGGCUCCGGCGCCUCAGGAUGGGUCUGCGGCCUAUCAGGGUAGUAGUGGGUGUAACGUACCUACUAGCCUACGACGGGUACGGGUUGUGAGAGCAAGAGCCCGGAGAUGGAUUCUGAGACAUGAAUCCAGGCCCUACGGGGUGCAGCAGGCGCGAAAACUUUACAAUGCGGGCAACCGCGAUAAGGGGACCUCGAGUGCUGGGUUACAAACCUGGCUGUUGGGCUGCCUAAAAAGCAGUCUAUAGCAAGGGCCGGGCAAGACCGGUGCCAGCCGCCGCGGUAACACCGGCGGCUCGAGUGGUAACCGCUAUUAUUGGGUCUAAAGGGUUUGUAGCCGGCCGACUAAGUCUCUUGGGAAAUCUGGCAUCUCAAGUGUCAGGCUGCCAGGGGAUACUGGUCGGCUUGGGACCGGGAGAGGUGAGAGGUACCUCGGGGGUAGGGGUGAAAUCUUGUAAUCCUCGAGGGACCACCAGUGGCGAAGGCGUCUCACCAGAACGGAUCCGACGGCAAGGGACGAAAGCUAGGGGCACGAACCGGAUUAGAUACCCGGGUAGUCCUAGCCGUAAACGAUACUCGCUAGGUGUCGGCCACGGUGCGACCGUGGUCGGUGCCGUAGGGAAGCCGUGAAGCGAGCCACCUGGGAAGUACGGCCGCAAGGCUGAAACU